UAAUUACUCCAUCGGUCCUAAAAUUCUUGUCUUAGGUUUGUUUACAAAUGGAUGUAUCUAAAUACUAAGACUAGAUACAUUCAUAUCUAAAAAAAAUAAGACAAAAUUUUUGUGACGGAGGGAGUAUUAG
Molecule: non-coding RNA, 130 nt
Organism: Hordeum vulgare subsp. vulgare (domesticated barley)
Lineage: Eukaryota; Viridiplantae; Streptophyta; Magnoliopsida; Poales; Poaceae
Source: Rfam